UACAGAGGUCCCAAGCGUUGUUCGGAUUCAUUGGGCGUAAAGGGUGCGUAGGCGGCGCGGUAAGUCGGGGGUGAAAUCUCGGAGCUUAACUCCGAAACUGCAUUCGAUACUGCCGUGCUUGAGGACUGGAGAGGAGACUGGAAUUUACGGUGUAGCGGUGAAAUGCGUAGAUAUCGUAAGGAAGACCAGUGGCGAAGGCGGGUCUCUGGACAGUUCCUGACGCUGAGGCACGAAAGCUAGGGGAGCAAACGGG
Molecule: ribosomal RNA, 253 nt
Filed under: uncultured bacterium
Lineage: Bacteria
Description: partial 16S ribosomal RNA
Rfam family: Bacterial small subunit ribosomal RNA
Source: RNAcentral